CCUACGGGAGGCAGCAGUGAGGAAUAUUGGUCAAUGGACGAGAGUCUGAACCAGCCAAGUAGCGUGAAGGAUGACUGCCCUAUGGGUUGUAAACUUCUUUUAUAAAGGAAUAAAACGAGGCACGUGUGCCUUUUUGCAUGUACUUUAUGAAUAAGGAUCGGCUAACUCCGUGCCAGCAGCCGCGGUAAUACGGAGGAUCCGAGCGUUAUCCGGAUUUAUUGGGUUUAAAGGGAGCGUAGAUGGGUUGUUAAGUCAGUUGUGAAAGUUUGCGGCUCAACCGUAAAAUUGCAUUUGAUACUGGCAGUCGUGAGUACAGUAGAGGUAGGCGGAAUGCGUGGUGUAGCGGUGAAAUGCUUAGAUAUCACGAAGAACCCCGAUUGCGAAGGCAGCUUAAUGGACUGGAACUGACAUUGAUGCUCGAAAGUGUGGGUAUCAAACAGGAUUAGAUACCCUUGUAGUC
RNAcentral lists this ribosomal RNA (460 nucleotides) under uncultured bacterium. RNAcentral's name for it is "partial 16S ribosomal RNA". It matches the Rfam family "Bacterial small subunit ribosomal RNA", at positions 338 to 795 of the family's 1533-position model. The record is from RNAcentral.